Chelonoidis abingdonii (Abingdon island giant tortoise) is the source of this 176-nucleotide unclassified non-coding RNA. Lineage: Eukaryota; Metazoa; Chordata; Testudines; Testudinidae. The record is from Ensembl.
UCAAUAAUCAUGGAAGCUGAGGUCCUCUAUUUAUCUCAUGAUGUACAGCAUGGACAGUGGGAGAGCAAACUUGUCUAUACUACUCUACCAACAUGCCUCAAUUCUGCUCUGUGAUAGGCCUCUUCUAAGGAUUAGAGAUUAGUGCAGUUUCCUUACCCACUCAAUUCUUGGCUUCU